RNAcentral lists this ribosomal RNA (376 nucleotides) under Apiomorpha minor. RNAcentral describes it as "bacterial SSU rRNA". It matches the Rfam family "Eukaryotic small subunit ribosomal RNA", at positions 209 to 548 of the family's 1831-position model. The record is from RNAcentral. Lineage: Eukaryota; Metazoa; Arthropoda; Insecta; Hemiptera; Eriococcidae.
GUUCCCCGUAAGUGGCCCGCGCAAAGACUUGACGACUCUGAAUAAUUUCUAGCUGAUCGCACGGUCGAAACGUGUUUUUUGUAUUCAUCGCAAAUGAAAACCAGCACCGGCGACGUAUCUUUCAAAUGUCUGCCUUAUCAACUGUCGACGGUAGGUUCGACGCCUACCGUGGUGGUAACGGGUAACGGGGAAUCAGGGUUCGAUUCCGGAGAGGGAGCCUGAGAAACGGCUACCACAUCCAAGGAAGGCAGCAGGCGCGCAAAUUACCCACUCCCAGCUCGGGGAGGUAGUGACGAAAAAUAACGAUACGGGACUCAUCCGAGGCCCCGUAAUCGGAAUGAGUACACUUUAAAACCUUGGUCGCACGAGGAUCAAU